CCGCCUAUCUAUUUUCCUAUAAAAUUUUGCAUUGUGUUCAUAUGGGAAAGCGAGCUGGCCCGCUUGCCGAGAUCUCAUUUGAAUUUGCCGAGAUCAUAGGUAGGCGGGAUGAAAAUUUUUCCAUAUGAACACGCCAGCCCGCUUACCGGGAUGAAGUGAAACAAGUCUUGCCGGUUUAAUUUAACACUUUUUACUUGGUUUUAUGUUUGUUUUGUAAACAAGUAUUAAAUAACCACCUGAAGCAAUACUUUUUCUUGUAAAUAAACGAAGAAAAACACUAAAAUCGCCAAGUAUUUGUGUUGCUUGACUGAAAUGUAGAAGUUUUGCAUACGCUAAUUAUAGAACUACAAUGUAAUUUCAUCUCGGCAAGUGGGACGAAAUACUCCAUAUGAACGCACGGAAAUAUUCGUCUCGGUAAGCGAGACGUCCCGGUGAGCGGGAUCAUAUGAACAGGCCCU
Molecule: non-coding RNA, 458 nt
Organism: Paramuricea clavata
Lineage: Eukaryota; Metazoa; Cnidaria; Anthozoa; Malacalcyonacea; Plexauridae
Source: the annotation of a GenBank genome assembly